Daucus carota subsp. sativus is the source of this 757-nucleotide long non-coding RNA. RefSeq lists it as uncharacterized. Lineage: Eukaryota; Viridiplantae; Streptophyta; Magnoliopsida; Apiales; Apiaceae. The transcript is spliced from 3 exons. The record is from RefSeq and is a predicted model, not a curated record.
UUAAUAUAUAUAUAUAUGAGUUGGGCUCCUUGGAGUCUUUAUUAUUUGGAGUACUUGGAGACCCUCCUGAGAACCAUCAGAUCUAAACAAAACUGUACGGCAGAGAUGGGUGACAGGUGUAAUUUUUUUUUUUAAAUCUAAAACUACCGUAUAAAGUAGUAAGCAUACGGUCCUGUAUACAAUCGUGUGUCUAUCAAAGUGUCAUCCCGCAUAAAUAGGAAUCCAAGUAACAGUUACAUGUACUUUGUUCCCCUAAACUUACUCUUCAAAAUCAAAACCGAAGAUGGCUGAAGAUAAGCAUUGACGACAAGCACGAUUCUCGACGACAGCGGCACCCUCUUGAAAAGGAGCCACAACUCCGAUAUUUUUGAAAACCCUAGUGAUGAGUUCAGGAAACUGCUGCGCAAGGAACGCAAGGGACAGUUGAAGAUGCUAUCGACCAGCACUUUCAAAAAGAUAAAUACAUGAGGGACUUCCGUAAGAAUCUGGAUGAUAUGAAGAGUGCAUACGAAAGAUGUUUAAAUAACUUUGAGGUGGUAUUAGCCUUGUACCCGGGUAAUGCAGAGCUUGCUAAACUACGGGACGAAAAUCGCAAAUUUUUUCAGCUAUUUGAGGAAACAAAUCCACUGUCAAAGAUGAUGUUGGGAGGGACAAGGAAGGUGAGGGGCAAUGCAGUGGAGGAACAGGGGGACGAUUGCAGCUUCGCUCCAAGCUUCUCCUUGGGACUCUGCUUGGAUGGAGCACCAGCCUAAGAACG